UGAAACUGACCUACCCCUAAAAUCAAUAUUCUAUUUGUCCUGAUCACAUCAUUUCCUGGUGUAAGUGUCCCUCCAUGAUUCUCUGGACUCAACCGUUGAGCUCCUGCCCCCUGGAGCGGACAGUGACACCAGGGAGGAACUAGGGAGCGGAGAAGUCCAUAGACGGCACUAGCAGGUGAGACCAGACUGGACAGUCAGGUCCUACUGGAUGUAGCUAUCUAAACAUGGUGAAAACAGAAAUGACUUUGGACCAUCUGUAUCAGUUUGGUGGUGGCGGAUGAUGGUGAACCUGGUGGUGUUCCUGUGUCAGCUGUGUAGCCCAGUUGUAUGGCCAGAGUGGGGCCGGUGAGAUGUGGCAUCCUGGAGGACUCAGACCAUCAUCACCACCCUUCAUCACCGGUCAGGAGGGAGAGGAGGAGGAAGAGCAGUCCUGUUCCUGUUUCUCCCUCUGUACCUGAGAUCUCCAGAGGAACACUACUAGCACCAGUCUCCACCACAGAGUCAGAGCUGCCCACUGCAGAGGAGCUGAUGCGUCCCAUCCGACCAGACAGCAUGGACGACACCAGAGGCUGCUAGGUGAGUCUACAGUUGUCUGUCACAUGACUGUAGUGGGGAAGGAUAACAGACACUGUCUGGAAGGUACAGAAUGGAGUGGGACAAUGUUAACAUGAGCUGUAUGUUCACAGUGGGAACCAGCUCAGCCCAGAGAAGACUGGCCAGUUCUUAAGCAAUAGAUCAGCAGAGCCAGACACUCCUCUGGCCUCCCCAGGCCCCCGUCCCAGAAGCAUAAGAGAGGAGGUACAGAGGCUGAUGAAGCAGGAUCAGGACAGCUCCUGACCUGACCUCCACUCAACUCAGCAACAAGAGAAGCCAGCAGGUAAGGGACAGGAACGGAGCCCUUGUUAAUAAGCACUAAACCCUACCAUACAUAACCACACUGAUUCAGGCGUUCACACCUACCUGAACUGUUUCCACAUUACAUAGCCAUUGCUCCGACAUGCCUCAUCCUAAUA
This 1013-nucleotide long non-coding RNA is filed under the name Oncorhynchus kisutch (coho salmon). RNAcentral's name for it is "lncRNA (ENSOKIG00005014655.1)". The record is from RNAcentral. Lineage: Eukaryota; Metazoa; Chordata; Actinopteri; Salmoniformes; Salmonidae.